GACGAACGCUGGCGGCGUGCUUAACACAUGCAAGUCGAACGGAAAGGCCCUGCUUUUGUGGGGUGCUCGAGUGGCGAACGGGUGAGUAACACGUGAGUAACCUGCCCUUGACUUUGGGAUAACUUCAGGAAACUGGGGCUAAUACCGGAUAGGAGCUCCUGCUGCAUGGUGGGGGUUGGAAAGUUUCGGCGGGUGGGGAUGGACUCGCGGCUUAUCAGCUUGUUGGUGGGGUAGUGGCUUACCAAGGCUUUGACGGGUAGCCGGCCUGAGAGGGUGACCGGCCACAUGGGGACUGAGAGACGGCCCAGACUGCUACGGGGGGCAGCAGUGGGGAAUAUUGCACAAUGGGCGGAAGCCUGAUGCAGCAACGCCGCGUGCGGGAUGACGGCCUUCGGGUUGUAAACCGCUUUCGCCUGUGACGAAGCGUGAGUGACGGUAAUGGGUAAAGAAGCACCGGCUAACUACGUG
Molecule: ribosomal RNA, 468 nt
Filed under: uncultured bacterium
Lineage: Bacteria
Description: partial 16S ribosomal RNA
Rfam family: Bacterial small subunit ribosomal RNA
Source: RNAcentral